UGGGGAAUAUUGCGCAAUGGGGGGAACCCUGACGCAGCCAUGCCGCGUGAAUGAAGAAGGCCUUCGGGUUGUAAAGUUCUUUCGGUAUUGAGGAAGGUUGAUGUGUUAAUAGCACAUCAAAUUGACGUUAAAUACAGAAGAAGCACCGGCUAACUCCGUGCCAGCAGCCGCGGUAAUACGGAGGGUGCGAGCGUUAAUCGGAAUAACUGGGCGUAAAGGGCACGCAGGCGGUUAUUUAAGUGAGGUGUGAAAGCCCUGGGCUUAACCUAGGAAUUGCAUUUCAGACUGGGUAACUAGAGUACUUUAGGGAGGGGUAGAAUUCCACGUGUAGCGGUGAAAUGCGUAGAGAUGUGGAGGAAUACCGAAGGCGAAGGCAGCCCCUUGGGAAUGUACUGACGCUCAUGUGCGAAAGCGUGGGGAGCAAACAGGAUUAGAUACCCCGGUAGUCCACGCUGUAAACGCUGUCGAUUUGGGGAUUGGGCUUAGAGCUUGGUGCCCGUAGCUAACGUGAUAAAUCGACCGCCUGGGGAGUACGGCCGCAAGGUUA
RNAcentral lists this ribosomal RNA (547 nucleotides) under uncultured bacterium. RNAcentral's name for it is "bacterial SSU rRNA". It matches the Rfam family "Bacterial small subunit ribosomal RNA", at positions 355 to 896 of the family's 1533-position model. The record is from RNAcentral.